This 926-nucleotide long non-coding RNA is filed under the name Vitis vinifera (wine grape). RNAcentral's name for it is "long non-coding RNA (VVIN_LNC004362)". Lineage: Eukaryota; Viridiplantae; Streptophyta; Magnoliopsida; Vitales; Vitaceae. The record is from RNAcentral.
CUGUGUGAAGGAAUAUGCUUAUGUUAAGCCUCGAAUUGAGGCCAUACACGUGGCAUCAUCUCAGGAGCUCACCUAAAGAGCUAUUUGUGAUCAAAGAUGAAAUGAGGAAGUAAAGGGAAGGACACAUGGUAAAGAUGGGUAUGGAGGAUAAGCUUUUUGUGUGGAGGUGAAGCUGGGUAUUUACCUAUAAAAGGAUACAAGAAUGAACAGAGAAAGAACUAUUACUUUUUAAAUGGAACUAUGGAAGAGAGAGAACCUUUGGACCUCUAGAAACGACUUCUACUCUUCUGGGAACUUUAUUUCUUGGGAUUUUUGUAGAGCUCCUGUGUAGAAAGGGGAAAUAUGAGUUUGAGAAGGUUCCAUUCUGGGAAACAGAGAGUGAAUUAAGGAGAGAUCUCAAUUUCAGUCUGGGUUCUACUUUUUUUAGUGAAAUCUAAGGAGGGAGUUGUGAGGAGGUUGCAACUAUUACAACUGGAGAUUGCAAUAGAUUCCUUGGUUAUAAUUCUGCUCCUUAUGGUAAACCUCAAUCCGAGGCAAAAAAUCUUUUCAGGAAGAGAUGUUAUACAGAACUAAAUCAGCUCAAGACAAAUCAAAAGACAAGGAAAUCAGGGAGUACCAAAUCUUGGUGUUGUUGCAUGCUCUGCCAGAGAUACUACCCUUCAACCAUGUCUUGAAGUUUCUCCAACUUUUGAGUUUCUCCAUCAUGGCAAGAAUAGGAAGAAUGGUCCUACAAAUUCUUCUUGUUUGCUGCUCUUCCUAAACCAGAUUGCCUCUCAAUGAAAAUGAAGAAGAUACAAUCCUGUUAUCCAUGUGCUCCAGAACAUUUAGAUUCCCAAGACCUAAAGACUCGAGAGAAGAGAAUUGACUGGCUAUUAGAUGGAUUCAGUAAAAUUUGUUCCUUGCUCAAGUGGUAUGUUGUCGUUUUA